Molecule: ribosomal RNA, 497 nt
Filed under: uncultured bacterium
Lineage: Bacteria
Description: partial 16S ribosomal RNA
Rfam family: Bacterial small subunit ribosomal RNA
Source: RNAcentral
GACGAACGCUGGCGGCGUGCCUAAUACAUGCAAGUUGAGCGCUGAAGGUUGGUACUUGUACCAACUGGAUGAGCAGCGAACGGGUGAGUAACGCGUGGGGAAUCUGCCUUUGAGCGGGGGACAACAUUUGGAAACGAAUGCUAAUACCGCAUAAAAACUUUAAACACAAGUUUUAAGUUUGAAAGAUGCAAUUGCAUCACUCAAAGAUGAUCCCGCGUUGUAUUAGCUAGUUGGUGAGGUAAGGGCUCACCAAGGCGAUGAUACAUAGCCGACCUGAGAGGGUGAUCGGCCACAUUGGGACUGAGACACGGCCCAAACUCCUACGGGAGGCAGCAGUAGGGAAUCUUCCGCAAUGGACGAAAGUCUGACCGAGCAACGCCGCGUGAGUGAAGAAGGUUUUCGGAUCGUAAAACUCUGUUGGUAGAGAAGAACGUUGGUGAGAGUGGAAAGCUCAUCAAGUGACGGUAACUACCCAGAAAGGGACGGCUAACUACGUG